GUGCUCGCUUCUGCAGCACAUAUACUAAAAUUGGAACGAUACAGAGAUUAGCAUGAACUCUGCAGAAGGAUGACACGAAAAUUUGUGAAGCAUUCCAUAUUUUU
Small nuclear RNA from Leptonychotes weddellii (Weddell seal), 104 nucleotides. The record is from RefSeq and is a predicted model, not a curated record. NCBI's taxonomy places the organism in Eukaryota, Metazoa, Chordata, Mammalia, Carnivora, Phocidae.